RNAcentral lists this ribosomal RNA (253 nucleotides) under uncultured bacterium. RNAcentral describes it as "partial 16S ribosomal RNA". It matches the Rfam family "Bacterial small subunit ribosomal RNA", at positions 524 to 776 of the family's 1533-position model. The record is from RNAcentral.
UACGGAGGGUGCGAGCGUUGUUCGGAAUCACUGGGCGUAAAGGGCGUGUAGGCGGUCCGUUAAGUCUGAUGUGAAAGCCCGGGGCUCACCCCCGGAAGGGCAUUGGAAACUGGCGGACUCGAGUCCCGGAGAGGAGGGUGGAAUUCCUGGUGUAGCGGUGAAAUGCGUAGAUAUCAGGAGGAACACCGGUGGCGAAGGCGGCCCUCUGGACGGUGACUGACGCUGAGACGCGAAAGCGUGGGGAGCAAACAGG